AAUGCCGUGCGCGCGCCGUUGGAUAGAGGGCUUGUGACGUUCUGCGCGCGUUGACUCGGUUGGUUCGUUGGAGGUGAGGGGCCAUGUUUGUGCCGGAAUUGGUGAGAGAACGAAGCGGAGGAGGUAGCCUCAGGAUUAGUGCUUAGCCGGCUUGUGCGUGGGUUUCUGGCGGAGUGAAAGCGUGCUGCUCCCAGCGUCUGCCGGCGUUACCUUCUGACGAAGAGCAGCAAGAGACGGCAACUGUAUCUGGAUCUGAAGCGUUGUCAUGGUCGUGUGAGCAGGGCCCUGUUCUGGGAGAGCACGAGAACGAGGACAGGCCGCCUCCUAGCAACCGGGAGUACGAGGUGGGGGGAGGGGAGAGCGUGCGCGCCGUCGCCGUCUGCAAGCGCUCACUCACUCCCCUUACCCCCCUCCCCCCCCCUCCCCGAGCGUAAACGCCUGGGCCAGUCCGGCCUUUGCCACCUUCAUUGACCAUGGCCUGGGUACUGAAGAUGGAUGAAGCCAUUGAGUCCGGGCUCGUGCACGAUUUCGAUUCCAGUUUAUCUGGGAUCGGCCAGGAGCUCGGAUCUGGUGCUUAUAGCAUGAGUGAUGUCUUGGCACUACCCAUCUUCAAGCAAGAAGAUUCAAACCUCCCUCCAGAGAAUGAAACAAAGCAUCCACCAUUCCAGUAUGUGCUGUAUGCAGCCACCUCUCCUGCUGUUAAACUACAUGAUGAAACUCUCACCUACUUGAACCAAGGUCAAUCUUAUGAAGUCCGAAUGCUAGAUAACCGAAAAUUAGGAGAUUUACCAGAAAUAAGCGGAAAAAUGGUUAAGAGUAUAGUGCGAGUUGUAUUCCAUGAUCGUAGACUACAAUACACUGAGCAUCAGCAACUGGAAGGUUGGAAAUGGAACCGGCCAGGAGAUAGACUCCUUGAUUUAGAUGUUCCAAUGUCUGUUGGAAUCAUUGACCCUAGGACUAAUCCAGCACAACUGAAUACAAUUGAAUUUCUGUGGGACCCAGCAAAACGCACCUCUGCUUUUAUUCAGGUACAUUGUAUUAGCACAGAAUUUACUCCCAGAAAGCAUGGGGGUGAGAAGGGGGUUCCGUUCAGGAUUCAAAUAGACACAUUCAAGCAAAAUGAAACAGGAGAAUAUACAGAUCACCUUCAUUCAGCCAGCUGCCAAAUUAAAGUUUUCAAGCCCAAAGGUGCAGACAGAAAACAAAAAACUGAUAGAGAAAAAAUGGAGAAGCGAACGGCUCAAGAGAAAGAAAAAUAUCAACCUUCAUAUGAAACAACAAUCUUAACUGAGAUGAGACUUGAGCCUAUUAUUGAAGAUGCACUUGAACAUGAGCAGAAAAAGUCCACCAAGCGGACUUUGCCAGCAGACUGCGGUGAUUCUCUGGCAAAGCGAGGCAGUUGCUCUCCUUGGCCGGAUAAUGCCUAUGUAAACAACAGCCCUUCUACCACUCCAGCAUUUACUUCUGGACAAGUCACUACUUACAGUGUUCCUGACAGUAACUCUUCUUCACCAAAUCAUCAAGGAGAAGGGACACCACAGUAUGUAGUGGAGCAACUGUGUCCAGCAGCUACAAUACAGGAGGCCCAGCAGUGGUUGCACAAGAAUAGAUUCUCGACAUAUGCGAGAUUAUUCUCAAAUUUCUCAGGUUCUGAUUUACUGAAGUUGACACGAGAUGAUCUUGUCCAGAUCUGUGGCUCAGCUGAUGGGAUUAGAUUGUUCAAUGCACUCAAAGCAAGGUCUGUUAGACCAAGGUUAACCAUCUAUGUUUGCCAAGAAUCACAGCAUGGAAGAAGUAUUUCACAGCUGACUAGCUCACAAGAGAAUGAAAAUGGAGAGGGAGACAGUCGUGCAAUAUAUGUAUACCAUGCAAUCUACCUGGAAGAACUGACAACAGCAGAACUUGCUAAAAAGAUUGCUGCUAUCUUUAGUAUAUCCCAAAAUCAGAUAAACCAGGUGUACAGACAGGGUCCUACAGGUAUUCAUGUUCUCGUCAGUGAUCAGAAUGUAGAUGUCAGCAUUGUCUCCUUGGCAACACACUGAGAUAAAAGGCCUGAAUAACACCAGACUCCGUGUAAACAAUGACUGGCAAGAACUACCUUUCAGACUGUUGUGCACCCUUAGCGUGAAGGCCCGUCUUCCUGACUGGCGAGCAAGAGCUUAGGAAUGGGGCAGAGCAAGUACUAAUAUCAUCCAUGGUACCAUCUUCCUACUUCACAACUGUUGGGAGUGGAUUGUGGACCAAGAACUGAGGUGAGUUCUACCAAAAAUAGCCAAUAGCAUUCUAGAAAAAAAAAAUCACAUGCUAAAAAAACAAAAUCUCUAACUUGAGAUGUAUUGAAUUUGAAAGAGGCUGCUUCUAGUGAUUCUCGGGAACAGAAUUUAUUUGGAGUCUCUUGGUAUAAAGAUCUCCUUUUCCCACUGGUUUCAGGGUAAUCAUUUUUUGGUGAUAAUUUAGUCACUUCUAAUAUUUCAAACUAAAACCUGAGGUUGGGUGACAUGUAUAAUAAAUGUCAUACUAGGUCUUUCAAGUGUUCUUGGAUUAGCAGGGGGACGUUCUAGUUUGAAUACAAGAUUUAUUUUUGGUAUUCUUUAUUCCUAAAACUGCUGUGUUCUUCAAAUAUUUUACAGAUGGUUCAUAACCUCCAAGAUGAAAGUUGUUUUGUAAUCAGUACGAUAAAAGCUGAAAAUAGCGAAGGCUACCACGUAAUUUUGAAGUAACCUGUCCCAUUUAGCAGUUAAGCUGGACUACAUUUUUGCAUAUAGAAGAUAUCUUUAUUAUGACAAAGGACAUUGAGCAAAUUCAUGUAAAUGUUAGAAUCUGACUUCACUGUACAAAAUGUUUCAUAUUGAAAACACAGCUUGACUGUUCAGUGACUUUACUGUGAGUUUGAAAUUUCUGGAAAUAUCACUGCCACCAAUCUGCACCCUCCUUGCAUGUGUAGGAUGCAGCAAGCUCGAGGGUAGACCUGAAAGUCCAGAAAUUAUGGUUCAAAGUGGUCUUCAUAAAUAUGACAAGAGGAGGAAAAUGGCCAGUAGAUCCAGAUUUGCACAAUAAUAGUCUCAUUUUGAAGCAGUUCUGCUUCCUUAUCUGUCUAGUUUCUUGAUUAUUGGUUGAAAUUGUUGAGGUAUGCCAAGUUAUUUUUUUAAAUGUUUGCCUUUUACUUUGUGCUGUAAUGCAUUUACUGCCUUCACAAGAUACUAGUUUCAUUCUAUAGAACUGUAUCUACAAGAUCGUAUAGUGCAGUUGCUAAUUUGCAUUCUAAAGAGAAAAACUAUAUAAAAAUGUUGUGAUUUCAACUCCUGUCUCAAAUCAGGACAUUCGUUUAAUUUAAAGUUGCAGCUUGCACAUUUAGUAUUUUUUUUCUGCUUCAAGGUCAUAGGGCUUUUUAUAUAUAAAAAAGCUGAUCUUAUUUGUUUGAAACACUUAGUGCUUUUUAUUGUUUGAGUUCAGUGUCAAACCUUUUUACCUGUAGAUAUUCAGCAGUUGUGGAUAAAGCAAGGAGUUUCUCAGUUUUGUUUGUAAAUCAUAACUGCUGUUAGAUCAGAGGAAAGGUAUGUUCUGCAUUUAAAAAUAAAUUUGUAAAUUCCAUUAAUCAAAUCUUAUGCUUUUGAAAGCUGUAUUUAAAAAAAAAAGUUGUGUCCAAUAAUUCUCCAGGUCAUAAUUGUGCCUAUGUGACCAAAUCUCACUGCACUGAAAAGUUAAUAAAAUCAAGUUUGCUUACUUUUUAA
RNA transcript from Stegostoma tigrinum, 3731 nucleotides. It is a transcript of the gene named upstream-binding protein 1-like, with no coding region annotated. Lineage: Eukaryota; Metazoa; Chordata; Chondrichthyes; Orectolobiformes; Stegostomatidae. The transcript has 17 exons. The record is from RefSeq and is a predicted model, not a curated record.